This 263-nucleotide ribosomal RNA is filed under the name uncultured Fusibacter sp. Its description in RNAcentral is "partial 16S ribosomal RNA". It matches the Rfam family "Bacterial small subunit ribosomal RNA", at positions 1120 to 1382 of the family's 1533-position model. The record is from RNAcentral. Lineage: Bacteria; Bacillati; Bacillota; Clostridia; Eubacteriales; Fusibacteraceae.
AACAGAUAAUGCUGUGCACUCUAAACAGACUGCCGUGGAUAACACGGAGGAAGGUGGGGAUGACGUCAAAUCAUCAUGCCCCUUAUGAUCUGGGCUACACACGUGCUACAAUGGUCGGUACAACGGGCAGCGAAAGAGUAAUCUGGAGCGAAUCCUAAAAAGCCGAUCCCAGUUCGGAUUGUGGGCUGAAACUCGCCCACAUGAAGUUGGAGUUGCUAGUAAUCGCGAAUCAGAAUGUCGCGGUGAAUGCGUUCCCGGGUCUU